GACAGAGGGUGCAACCGUUGUUCGGAAUUACUGGGCAUAAAGCGCACGUAGGUGGUCCGCUAAGUCGCGUGUGAAAUCCCUCGGCUCAACCGAGGAAUUGCCUUUGAUACUGGCUGUCUUGAGUUCGGGAGAGGUGAGUGGAAUGCCGAGUGUAGAGGUGAAAUUCGUAGAUAUUCGGCGGAACACCAGUGGCGAAGGCGACUCACUGGCCCGAUACUGACGCUGAGGCGCGAAAGCGUGGGGAGCAAACAGG
RNAcentral lists this ribosomal RNA (253 nucleotides) under uncultured bacterium. RNAcentral describes it as "partial 16S ribosomal RNA". It matches the Rfam family "Bacterial small subunit ribosomal RNA", at positions 524 to 776 of the family's 1533-position model. The record is from RNAcentral.